GACGUAGGUGGCAAGCGUUGUCCGGAAUUAUUGGGCGUAAAGCGCGCGCAGGCGGUUCUUUAAGUCUGAUGUGAAAUCCCACGGCUCAACCGUGGAAGGUCAUUGGAAACUGGGGGACUUGAGUACAGAAGAGGAAAGCGGAAUUCCAAGUGUAGCGGUGAAAUGCGUAGAGAUUUGGAGGAACACCAGUGGCGAAGGCGGCUCUCUGGGACGGUACUGACGCUGAGACGCGAAAGCGUGGGGAGCAAACAGG
This 253-nucleotide ribosomal RNA is filed under the name uncultured bacterium. Its description in RNAcentral is "partial 16S ribosomal RNA". It matches the Rfam family "Bacterial small subunit ribosomal RNA", at positions 524 to 776 of the family's 1533-position model. The record is from RNAcentral.